Molecule: long non-coding RNA, 294 nt
Filed under: Elaeis guineensis (African oil palm)
Lineage: Eukaryota; Viridiplantae; Streptophyta; Magnoliopsida; Arecales; Arecaceae
Description: long non-coding RNA (EGUI_LNC031154)
Source: RNAcentral
UUAGUGGAAUCAUCUCAAGAUCUUUCACAGGUUCCUCAUAUUCUUCAAUCAGCUCAUCAUGGGCGUCCAGUCCAUCAACAAGGUAUACUUUAAAAGGUGCCACAUCACAAAGUAUGAUGGUGUAGCACUUCAGAGUCUCCCCAAACUUCUCCAACCCUAAACUUAGUUGCAAACUUUAUCUUCAGAUGAUAGGUAGAAACUAUAGCUUGGAGCUCAUUGAGUCCUAGAUAUCCAAGGAUGGCAUUGUAGGCUGAUGGUGCCCAAACCAUGAGAAAGUCAACCUGAGCCGUGGAU